RNAcentral lists this unclassified non-coding RNA (212 nucleotides) under Pseudomonas asplenii. RNAcentral describes it as "Pseudomonas sRNA P29". The record is from RNAcentral. Lineage: Bacteria; Pseudomonadati; Pseudomonadota; Gammaproteobacteria; Pseudomonadales; Pseudomonadaceae.
AAACACGAAGGGGAGCCGAAGCUCCCCUUGAAUGCGUUUUGUGUGCUCUUUUCUUGUUAUUGAGGGGCGGUCUGUUGUUGUUUUUGUCAACCGUGGCCCUUUACCGCUGUUCUGGCGACCCCCAUCCGGGGUCAAAGAGCAAACAUAUUUUUUUGAGCGCUGACUUGCCUUAUCAGGUGAUCCAACCAGUUCGGGGCUACCUUGAGGUAGUU